RNAcentral lists this long non-coding RNA (4952 nucleotides) under Gossypium barbadense (sea-island cotton). RNAcentral's name for it is "long non-coding RNA (GBAR_LNC018806)". Lineage: Eukaryota; Viridiplantae; Streptophyta; Magnoliopsida; Malvales; Malvaceae. The record is from RNAcentral.
CUGGAAUCCAUCGAUCUGUCCAUAUGGAAACAUUAUUUCCUCUUCCAAUUCUCCAACUAAGCCCCUGAAUAAGAAGUUUCUUUGCUGCUCAGAUACUCUUCCAGGUAAGAGAGGUAAAUUUCCCAGCUCUGCUAUUAAAAAAUCUGACUGGAUAAUAUUUUGCUUUCUGGCUAAAAGUGAAUUUGGAUAAUUAAAAAGACGCCACCCCUGUUUGGCUAAUAACGCAAUAUUAAACUGACUGAGAUUUCGAAAACCCAAGCCUCCAUUUUCUUUUAAACUGCACAGAUUAUUCCAUAAACACCAAUGAAUUCCCCCUUUGCCAUGACCCUUUUCCCACCAAAACUUCGCAGUAAUUGCCUCCAUUUCCUCGCAUAAUGUUUUUGGAAGUAAAAAACACGCCAUUGAGUAUGUUGGUAUGGCUUGUAAGAUUGCUUUAAUGAAAACUUUCCCGCCCUGUGAUAAAAAUCUCGUGCUCCAAUUGUCAAUGUGCUUCCUUAGUCUAUCUUUCAAAACCUGAAAAGAAGCCUUUUUUUUUCUUCCAACCAUGGUCGGCAAACCUAGGUAACGUUCUGGCUCAUUUGAACUUCGGAUUCCCAGCAGGUUUACCACCUGAGUUCUGUCUACUUCCUUCGUGUUUCUGCUGAAGAAAAUGGAUGAUUUGUCCAUAUUAACACUGUCCCGACCUCUUUUGUACUCCCUUAAAAUAUCCUUAAUUGCAUUUGCCCCUCUACUUGAUGCCUCCCCAAAAAGAAUGCAAUCAUCUGCAAAUAACAAAUGGGAUAACUGUGGGCCUCUUCUGCUUACUUUGACCACCUUCAGAAAACCUUCAUUGGUUGCUUUUCUCAUAAGGCUAGAAAGACCUUCCCUGCAUAUUAAAAAUGAAAUGGGCUUAAAGGAUCCCCUGUGUGAGUCCUCUCAAUGGACAGAAUGAUUCCCUGGUAUUUCCAUUAACCACAACUUUAUAAGAAAUAGUAGACAUGCAUUUUAUAAUUGACUCAAUCCAGCUUCGAGCGAAAUCCAUCUUACACAUUACUUUUUCAAUAUAAUUCCAUUCAACGCCUUGCUCAUGUCCACUUUUACUGCCAUAUAACCCUUUUUUCCUACUGUUUUUUGUUUUAGGGAAUGCAAAAUUUCAUAAGCAAGAAGAACAUUAUCCGAUAUUAAUCAUCCCGACACAAAAGCACUUUGUGCACUAUCAAUGCAUUUAUCAAUCACUCCCCCAAAUUAGUUUGCUAUAGCUGUUGCCAUUAUUUUAUAGUUGACAUUGCAUAAGCUAAUAGGCUUUGCCGUUAUUUUAUAGAUGACAUUGCAUAAGUUAAUAGGCCUAAAAUGUGACAUGCUAACUGGAUUACUAUUUUUUGGAAUGAGCACAAUAUGAGUUGUGUUAAUUAAACUAACCUCCAUAUCUCCAUUCAAAAGCUUUAGACAUAAAGUAACAAUGUCGUUUCCAAUAAAUUGCUAGCACUUUUGGUAAAAUAAAGCUGGAAAUCCGUCUUCGCCUGGAGCUUUUGUGGGUGCAUUGCGAACAAUGCCUCGCGGAUUUCUUCACCUGUGUAUGACGCCAUCAACUUUUUAUUUUCCUCUUCAUGGAUGCAUCGAUCAAUGCCCGAAAGUAAAAACUCCAAAUUAACUUGAUUCUCUGAUGGAAACAGUUUAUGGAAGUAGGACCUUGCAAUUUCUUCCAUUUCCUGGUAAUCUCUCGUGACUGUACCAUCUGCUUUUUGUAACAUUCUGAUCUUGUUUUUCCUCUGCCUUUGGGUAGCCUGGCUAUGGAAAAAACCUGUAUUGCGGUCCCCUAAUUUUAGCCAAUUCAGACGGGCCCUUUGCUCCCAAUACCUUUCCUCCUUCUCAAACACCACAUUUAAAUUAAUUUUCGUGUCGAUCAACUCCGCCAAAUUGUUGUCAUCCAUUUCAGCCUCGAGCAACUUUGAUAGCUUUGCCUCUAGAAAUUUCUUUUUUCCAGUUUUUGUGUUACGAAUAUUCGUAGCCCAACUCUCAAGCCCCUUCUUUAAGAAUUCCAUUUUCUGCAGAAAAUUUCCUAUUGCCAUCUUCCAGACAGUGAUUCGAAAACGAGUGAACAAUAUGUUGAGCUUUGACUUCAGAGAAAAAUGAAAUCCACUCCGUGUUCGCCACCCCCUAUCCAACCUUUCCCGUAUAUUAGUCUCCGGAAGAUUACCUUUUUCCCAUGUGAACCAUCUUCCCAGAUAACCGACAUCAUUUAAUUGGUAAAACUCUAGAGCUUUCCUAAACAAUUCCAUCCGUUUUUCAUCUCGGGGUAAGCCUCCCUUAUUCUCGAAACUGCACAUGACUUCGUUGAAAUCUCCACAUAUUAACCAUGGAAUGUUAUUUCCAUUAAAGAGAUUUUUCAGAACCCCCCAUGAAUCUUCCCUAUAAUGUGCGUACGGGGUGUCGUAAAAACCUGUAAAACGCCACAUCACCCCCUCUCAUCAUCAUGGAUUAUCACAGUAAUGUCUUUUAGAGAAGUUUUGUAAAGAAAUAUUAACAUCAUUCUUCCAUGCCAAACAUAGCCCCCUUUUAGUUCCCUCUGCAUCCACCCCAAUACUAGUCACAAAGCCACAUCUCUUUCUAAUUCUUUCCAUCUGUUUUCCACUGAGUUUAGUCGACAUAAAGAAGAUUAUUUGGGGAUCACAAGUCUUCAGCGAUUGCCGAAGCCUUCUUACUAUUCGCGGACUCCUCAAUCCACGGACAUUCCAACUUAUUAUUUUCAUAAUGUUCGGUCGGCUUGCCUCUUGGCCGUCGCCGAUGUAAACUGAUUAAGGUCUGUUAAUUUUCUAUUUCUUGCCGAGGGGAAUGACUCAUCAUACUUUGUUUGGCCAUCACUCUCACUCCUAGAUCUUUUUUUUCCCUCUUCACCUGCUAGGGUUAUAUCCUCCAAGUCGUGUUCCAUUGCAUGUUGAUCAUUGUCCGUCAUUGAACUAGCCUGUUUUGCAGCAGCUUUUAAUAAACCCCCUUCCAGAUUAAUCCCUAGAACUGGGUCUAUAAUCUUCCAAACUUUAUUUUCUUCCUCCAUUCCCCUUGGUUAGCCCAUAACUUUCCUAUUUACCUCUUGAAAUCGGUCUGAGUCUCCCUCCCAUUCCUCUCUUAGCCAGACACUUUUCAUAGUCAAAGCUCUUCGAGAUUGUGCUCUUAUUGAUAAAUCCCAUCCCAUCUCAGCUAUUUCCACUCAAACCAUCUUUUUUGCCUCACAAAAUGAGUCGUUAUGGCCCAAUUUUCCACAAAAGAAACAGAAAAGAGUUAGUCUUUCAUAUUUAAAAUUGACAUAUGAACGUCUUCCAUAUUCACUUAACUUCUUCCUCUUCAGAGGGGGUCGUAUAACCACCUGAACCCUCACCCUCAUGAAAUUUCUAUUUUCUUUCCCUAGAUUUGACACGUCGUAUUCCAUAAAGGACCCCGAGAAAUUCUCAAGACUCACUGCUAAUUUUUCUGAAUGGAAACCAAUAGGCACGUCAUGUAUCUGUACCCAGACAGGGGUUAGAAUUAAGGGAACCAGUAUCGGAUUCUCCCCCCAUCGCAUUUUAUAAAGUAUCAGUAGAUGAUUAUUGAAAGUCCAAGGAGAACCCUUCGAAACCCUCUCCAAAUCCAUAGAAUGAAAAAAUUGAAACAAAUACCUUUCUUCCCCAGAUCCCGAAUGCAAACUCCUCGAACAGGAUGCCACAGAUUUGCCAUAGUGCUUUUCAUGGCUGGAUAGUGGAUUGCGCUUGCUGUGAGAAAACAACCCACUAAUUGAAAAAACUCCUCCCUUCUUCCCAUACUUUGGUUUUCUUGAAUUUUAAUAACCUCAUCUUCCUCUUCGUUGAUCAAUAAGUGGACUAACUCGUUUUCCAUGUUGACAGGGACAAACACUCCCCAAAACCAGAAGGAGAGACCAAAGAACAAAACCUAAAAACUUGCCAGAGGCGGCGGGCACAAACUUGCUAGGGUAGCAGACUAUUUUUCCCGUUAAAUUAAAUCCAAAUUAAAUUAACAAUAAUAACAACAAAAACAAAUUAAAUUAACAUUAAUUUAUAACAAAAAAAUAUUACCUUUUCUUAACCACUUAAUCUACCUAGACAACAAACUCUCAUUUCUUUUUUUAUUUAUUUAUUUUCCUUCUCUUUUUCCUUCCCUCUCUUUAUUCUAUUUCUCUUUUUUUUUCUUUCUUUUUCUCUUCCCUUCCCGCCCUCUCCUUCUCCUUAUAAUGGUUCCCAAACACACAACUCAUAGGCUUUUAGCCAUGACCCAUCCCAUCGCCUGACAAUCGCAGGCGGGUGCCGCCUAUGGAGAUGGCGUGACUGCUGGUGCUGCCUCUGCCCUAGGUUUGACCAGCGGGUGCUGCCUCUUCCCUAGGCGUGACCCAUUGUGCUAUCCCAUCUAUGACAGCGGGUCAGGUUUCGGGUCCGAUUUUUUCAGUAUACGAGUCGUAUUUGACCCGUAUUUUCUUUAAGUGUCGCCUAUUAACUUACCUUCACCAUUUUUUUUUUAUUUUCAGUCAAAUUUUGUGAGAAUCCUCUACUGGUGUCGCCUAUGUACCACCCUCCACCUCUUUGAAUGUACCAUUUUAGUACAUAAUUUUUUAAACAUGUCAUUACAAUAUUUUUAUUUUAUUAUACAAUAUUCAGGUAAAAAACCCAAAUUUAAAAUAUUGGACUUUCGUUUAUAUUUUUUUUUAUUUCUUUUUGAUAGUUGUCUUGGAUUUUAAAUUUAUGGUUAAAUGUUACAGAAGCAGUUUUUUAAAUUUUAUUUCUUUUCAAUUAUGGCUUGGCGCAAAUUCUUAGUAUUUUAUUUCAAUUUUCUUUAAAUUAAUUACUGAAGAUAUUAAUUAAAAUUUGAGCUUCGGUAAAUCAACAGCCAAAAGAGAAGCAGGGAAGGAAGCACAAAGUAGAACGGGAAAAAUGAAGCUGGAAGUGUAUGCUGAUCGAAUGUCCCAACCAUCUCGCGCUGUCAUCAUCUUC